GGCUGGUCCAAAGGUACUGAGUUGUCUUUAUUGAUUGUUCACAGUCAGUUACAGAUGGAACUCCUUUUUCUACUCUUUGGCCCCUUCUCACCACUGUACAUGACUAGCCUUUA
This 113-nucleotide Y RNA is filed under the name Callithrix jacchus (white-tufted-ear marmoset). RNAcentral describes it as "Y RNA (ENSCJAG00000074644.1)". It matches the Rfam family "Y RNA". From Rfam's summary of the family: Y RNAs are components of the Ro ribonucleoprotein particle (Ro RNP), in association with Ro60 and La proteins. The record is from Rfam by way of RNAcentral. Lineage: Eukaryota; Metazoa; Chordata; Mammalia; Primates; Cebidae.